GAUGAACGCUGACAGAAUGCUUAACACAUGCAAGUCAACUUGAAUUUGGGUUUUUACCUUAGGUUUGGGUGGCGGACGGGUGAGUAACGCGUAAAGAACUUGCCUCACAGCUAGGGACAACAUUUGGAAACGAAUGCUAAUACCUAAUAUUAUGAUAAUAGGGCAUCCUAUAAUUAUGAAAGCUAUAAGCGCUGUGAGAGAGCUUUGCGUCCCAUUAGCUAGUUGGGAAGGUAACGGCUCACCAAGGCGAUGAUGGGUAGCCGGCCUGAGAGGGUGAUCGGCCACAAGGGGACUGAGACACGGCCCUUACUCCUACGGGAGGCAGCAGUGGGGAAUAUUGGACAAUGGACCGAGAGUCUGAUCCAGCAAUUCUGUGUGCACGAUGAAGUUUUUCGGAAUGUAAAGUGCUUUCAGUUGGGAAGAAACAAAUGACGGUACCAACAGAAGAAGUGACGGCUAAAUACGUG
RNAcentral lists this ribosomal RNA (467 nucleotides) under uncultured bacterium. RNAcentral describes it as "partial 16S ribosomal RNA". It matches the Rfam family "Bacterial small subunit ribosomal RNA", at positions 28 to 507 of the family's 1533-position model. The record is from RNAcentral.